AGUGAACGCUGGCGGUAGGCCUAACACAUGCAAGUCGAACGGCAGCACAGUAAGAGCUUGCUCUUACGGGUGGCGAGUGGCGGGCGGGUGAGGAAUACAUCGGAAUCUACUUUUUCGUGGGGGAUAACGUAGGGAAACUUACGCUAAUACCGCAUACGACCUACGGGUGAAAGCAGGGGAUCUUCGGUCCUUGCGCGAUUGAAUGAGCCGAUGUCGGAUUAGCUAGUUGGCGGGGUAAAGGCCCACCAAGGCGACGAUCCGUAGCUGGUCUGAGAGGAUGAUCAGCCACACUGGAACUGAGACACGGUCCAGACUCCUACGGGAGGCAGCAGUGGGGAAUAUUGGACAAUGGGCGCAAGCCUGAUCCAGCCAUACCGCGUGGGUGAAGAAGGCCUUCGGGUUGUAAAGCCCUUUUGUUGGGAAAGAAAAGCAGCAGGUUAAUACCCCGCUGUUCUGACGGUACCCAAAGAAUAAGCACCGGCUAACUUCGUG
Molecule: ribosomal RNA, 492 nt
Filed under: uncultured bacterium
Lineage: Bacteria
Description: partial 16S ribosomal RNA
Rfam family: Bacterial small subunit ribosomal RNA
Source: RNAcentral